GCAGACACAUUCCAGCCAAUCAGCAGCAGACCCUCCCUCCCAGACCCUGCCACCUCCUGGACAGCAUCCAUUUUGAAGCUGCAUUCUUAGUGAGCUGUCCAGGAGGUGGGAGGGUCUGGGAGGGAGGGUCUGCUGCUGAUUGGCUGGAAUGCAUCUG
Molecule: microRNA precursor, 157 nt
Filed under: Pelobates cultripes (western spadefoot toad)
Lineage: Eukaryota; Metazoa; Chordata; Amphibia; Anura; Pelobatidae
Source: RNAcentral